AGUCGAGGGGUAUAGUAGCAUACUAGAGACCGGCGCACGGGUGCGUAACGCGUAUGCAACCUACCUUUUACAGGGGGAUAGCCCAGAGAAAUUUGGAUUAAUACCCCAUGGUGUAUUUGAGUGGCAUCACUUAAUUACUAAAGUUCCAACGGUAAAAGAUGGGCAUGCGUCCUAUUAGCUAGAUGGUAAGGUAACGGCUUACCAUGGCUACGAUAGGUAGGGGUCCUGAGAGGGAGAUCCCCCACACUGGUACUGAGACACGGACCAGACUCCUACGGGAGGCAGCAGUGAGGAAUAUUGGACAAUGGGCGCAAGCCUGAUCCAGCCAUGCCGCGUGCAGGAAGAAGCAUCUAUGGUGUGUAAACUGCUUUUGUACAGGAAGAAACACUCCCUCGUGAGGGAGCUUGACGGUACUGUAAGAAUAAGGAUCGGCUAACUCCGUGCCAGCAGCCGCGGUAAUACGGAGGAUCCAAGCGUUAUCCGGAAUCAUUGGGUUUAAAGGGUCCGUAGGCGGUUUGGUAAGUCAGUGGUGAAAGCCCAUCGCUCAACGGUGGAACGGCCAUUGAUACUGCCAGACUUGAAUUACUAGGAAGUAACUAGAAUAUGUAGUGUAGCGGUGAAAUGCUUAGAGAUUACAUAGAAUACCAAUUGCGAAGGCAGGUUACUACUAGUGGAUUGACGCUGAUGGACGAAAGCGUGGGGAGCGAACAGGAUUAGAUACCCUGGUAGUCCACGCCGUAAACGAUGGAUACUAGCUGUUCGGAGCAAUCUGAGUGGCUAAGCGAAAGUGAUAAGUAUCCCACCUGGGGAGUACGUUCGCAAGAAUGAAA
This 830-nucleotide ribosomal RNA is filed under the name uncultured bacterium. RNAcentral's name for it is "bacterial SSU rRNA". It matches the Rfam family "Bacterial small subunit ribosomal RNA", at positions 60 to 899 of the family's 1533-position model. The record is from RNAcentral.